This is a long non-coding RNA of Canis lupus familiaris (dog), 3467 nucleotides long. RefSeq lists it as uncharacterized. NCBI's taxonomy places the organism in Eukaryota, Metazoa, Chordata, Mammalia, Carnivora, Canidae. The record is from RefSeq and is a predicted model, not a curated record. The transcript is spliced from 2 exons.
CCUGGCUGGCUCAGUCAGAAGAGCAUGUGACUCUUGGUCAUGAGUACCAUGUUGGGUGUAGAGAUUACUUAAACAAUAAAUUUUAAAAAUUGUUAUUGGCCACAAAAUACUGGUAUGCCUCAUUUUACAAAACUAUUUCUAUACAGCUGAAAGUGAUUUGAAAUUUUCUCAAAUUCAUUACCAAGAAACUAACAAAAGGACUUUUAUUUGCAUUUCUUAAAAUGAAAAUUUCUUCUGUCAAAAAAGUACAUGUUUGUCUUUUGUGUUAUUACAUUUCCCAUCUGGGAAUUAUGAAGUAAGUGAGAGAGGCUCUCAAUCAAAUUUGGUGCUGAGGGUUGAAAGCAAGUGUCUAUUAGGCCUUUUCUUGAGGACUGGAAGAUAGCACAGACUGCCAGGUAAGUCUAUGGGUUCUGGAGUUAGGUGGGUUCUACCACUAACCAUCUGAAUGAAUGAAGCUGGGGAUGUUACUAAACCUGUCUGCCUCAAUUUUCUCUUUGUAAACUAAGAUAAUAGUAUCUGCCUCAUAUAACUAUUUGGAGGCUUAGAUAAGUUAGUACAUGUAAAUGACUGAAACAGACCCUGCAACCUACAGAUUGCUGUUUUUAUGGCCAUUUUAGGUUUUAUUUUGGGAAGACACUUAAGCUAGGAGUGUCCAAGUUAAUAAUGCUUUGGAUCACUGGUUCUCCAAAUAGAGGGGCCAGCAAUCUGUGUACAAGCCCCGCAGGUAAUUCCCAUCCACACUCGAGUGUGAGGAGCACUGUUUGAGAUUACCACCAGAAACUCCUAUGUUCUAGAAGAGCCAGUGUUCUUUCCAGAGGACUUGACUCAUCUGAAGAUUAUCUGCACCAGAAUUACCAGUGGAGUUUGCUUAAAAUGAUCCAAAUUAUGAGAAAAUACUUAACUAUGUCUUUGUAUGUGAAUAAAAAAGCCUGGAAGAACAUAAAGAUGAUAUUGGUUCCUGGGGAGGAAACUGGGUAGGUGAGAGGAAGAGGAGGAGAAAAAAAAAUAUAUAUAUAUAUAUUCCAUUCUUGUCUCUUUUGAAUUUUAAAGGAUACACAAUUUAAAAAUUAAAUACUGAAGUUAAUAGACCUAGAAUCAUAUAGAUGUGUGAGUUUUACCCAGAGCAUACUCAGUUAGAACCCAGAAUAGAACCUGCCAGAUCAGGGCACUUGGGUAGCUCAGUGGUUGAGCAUUUGCCUUUGGCUCAGGUCAUGAUUCCAGGGUUCUGGGAUCAAGUCCUGCAUCUCCCUCUACCUAUGUCUCUGCCUCUUUCUCUCUCUCUCUGUGUCUCUCAUGAAUAAAUAAAUAAAAUCUUAAAAAAAAAAAAAGAACCUACCAGAUCAGAAUCCUGUGGGAGACUUCAAGAAUCUCCAUGUAGUUGUCUUGGUUAUCAUGGUAAUACGCAGGCAGAAACCUACCUUACCCAUUGCUAAUUUCCAUGGUGUAAGAACUCCCACUGUGGUCAAGUUCCAGGCAUGCUGGAGGUUUGAUGUUUAAUUAAUUGCUCAUUUCACUAGACCAAUGGACAAAAGGAGACCUCUCCAUGUGUGGAUAGAUGGAAGACAUUAUUAUGGCUUGUAUCACUUGGAAAGCCUUGAUUAUAAUAGGACUAUGGUAUAGGAGACAUGGAUUCUACUGUAGCCUGCCACUAACAGGAUAACUGGGUAAGACCUUUACCUUUUCCAUCCCUGAGUUUCCUUAUCUAUCAAGUGGAGGCAUUAAAAACUGUUUUAUGGACAUAACUGAGUCAAAUGAGAUUAGAUUUGACACAAUUUCUAAAGUACAAAGUUAAUAUAAAAGGUAAUUAAAUCUGGCAUUGAUUGAUUGCACAUUAUUGACAUUUUAAUAACAUUUAGAAUCUAGUUGGGGCAGAAAUCCCUUACAGAAAAAAUGGGACAUGAGUUUCUAAAUAAUUUAAAAAUUGUACAAAAUUUAUGUCUAAAAAUCUAUUUCUCCCAAUAACAAAAUGCAGAGAAGAUUAAUUGCCUGUCUUUAAUCCCAUUCAGGCUAUAUGAAGUAUGUGGAUUUUAUAGUAGCUCUAUUACUAUGAAAGAGUUUAUUAUUCCAACAGAACUGGACAUAUUUGACUUAAAUUGAUCUACAGUGCCCUUGCCAAAAGAAAAGCAUUCACUUUAUCUGAAUUAUUAUUAAUUAGCUUCCUGCAGGCUGUAAAGUUGCCACGUGUGUAAACCUGCUCAAACAUGAGGCGGAAAUAAAUGAAGCAAUGGAAUAAGUAUAGGCUAGGUGUUUUUCCUUCCAGGCACACAGUCUGCCUUCCUGUCCUUUGCUGCAGCAGAUGAAGCUAGCCUCUGUCUGAGUACUACAUGGAAGCCGCUUGGCCUUCUCACAGGACACAUUCUCAACAUCUCUGCCUCAGAUGGAACUGAACUUAUUCUCACCAGACAUUAAAUUCUUCCUUAUUAUUUUUUUUUUUUAGUAGACUCCACAUCCACUGUGGGGCCCAAUGUGGGACUUGAAUGCCUGACCCUGAGAUCAAGACCUGAGUAGAGAUCGAGUUGGACAUUCAACCAAUCAAGCCAUCCAGUAUUCAUGGAAAUGGUCACUAAGCAUCAAGAUAAAAUGUGGACAUUGUCUACAUUUUCAAAAAGUGGAAGACCAAAAGGAGGAAAGAUGCUCAAGGUCAUACCAUAGAGAAAAGGCAUGAAGAGGCACUUUACUGUCACUCCUACUGGUAAGAAUCUGAGAAUUAAACCUUCCUGGACAGCUGGGCAAGCUUCAGUGCCUGAGAAUAUUCACGCCCUUCUGGAUGACUAAUUCAUUACUUCAGGAGGUAUAGAACCAGAUGAGCACCCAGCAGUUUUUUGCGGUGGCUUCCCCUUAUCUCCCCAAUAGAAAAUUAUUUUUUGCUUUGGCACUUCCCCGGGUUACCAUGACUCCCCAGCUACUAGUGUAAAUAAAAAUAAACUAUUCAGGAGUGUCCAUUACAAAUGAUAAAUUCUAGGGAGAGCUCUUGACUACAUAUCCUCAGAAAACAGGCUUUCUUGGAAAUAAAGGAAUGUGAGUAUGAAAAACAGCAGCAUUAUCACUAUACACUUUUUAAAUAUUUACUACUGUGUUAGUGAAAUAUUUAAAGUGAUUAUCUGAACUGCUCCCCCACCCCCAUCACAGGGGAGCCUGAAUAUGUCACCGCCUGAUACAACUGCCUGACAAUCUCACGUUGCCAUAAUGCUUUCCAGAAAACAAUUCAUGCCGAAGAGUGAAUGCAACUGUUUUUAUUUUUUAAUAGGAAAGAAAUAGAUCUCAAAUUAAGUAAGUGCUGAGCCUAGGCAUUAAGAGAUGCAGCAAGCUGUUUGCCCCAGAUUCGAGCUCUGCAAACAAGCCCCAGUAGGCUUCUCUGAAAACAUCAUUUUUGUUUCACUUGAGUGUGUGCUUGACUGCUUUUAGCUCCCUCUUCCUGGAUAGGGUCACUGGAAAGAACAGCUAAUAAAAGAGCCCCUCAGACCUGG